RNAcentral lists this ribosomal RNA (121 nucleotides) under Lepisosteus oculatus (spotted gar). Lineage: Eukaryota; Metazoa; Chordata; Actinopteri; Semionotiformes; Lepisosteidae. The record is from RNAcentral.
UACAGAAGUAGCAUAUCAACCUGCAGCUCACAACUGGCAACCCACUGAAGCUCAGCAGGUGUGAGCCUGGUCAGUACCUGGAUGGGAGACCUCCUGGGAAAAACUAAGGUUCCUUCUGGAA